UUUUUUUUGUUUUUUUCUUUUUUCUUUUCUAAAGAAUGGCCAGAGUUCAUUCUAUUAGGACAAAGUGCUUUCCAGAACUCUCAUGAAGUAGGAAAGCACCUUUGGCUCUUAUUUCCCCAACACAAGAUAAUGCAAUUCAUCAUAAAGAGUGUUAUUUCCCAAGAAGCCAUCACUGGAUGGCAAGGCCAUUGUUCCAAAUGAUCUACAAAGUUCCAGAACAGCAGCCAAGAAUCAGAAGACUUUCCAGGAACUAAAAAGACUGUAAAGACAGAUGCACAUGUGUUUCUAUGGAAAAAUACUGGAGAGAGAAAAAAAAAAGACAAAUCUGAUGUUAGUUUAAGGAGACAAGUCUCCAACACCACUGUUAAACAAUAUGAGAUGUUGCCAUGGAGGGGCCCAUGACUGCUAAUCUAAUGUCCAUCACAUGGCAAAGGACUGAGUUGAGAAUGGUAACUUCUGAAACAUGCUCAGGCUUCUAAUUUUUAACUAAAGAGCAUCAGAAGGCUGACAACAUAGGUAUAGUUACACACCGCACCAGAAAUGCCAGCUAAAAUGAAGAUAUAAUUUCUCUUAAACCACCCUGAACUUCGUAACAGAAUGAUUAUACAGAGACAAGCCAGAGAAGUGACACAUCUGAUCUCUGAUAGCACAAGAAAAAAAUCCUGAGAUAUAUUAACACAAAAAAUCCAACACUGAUAAUGUCAGCAUUAAGUGCUGAAUUAGUAAGGGCAAAGGACAAACCUUGUGCUUCUCUUACUGCACUCUGUGCUUAGCCCAAGCCAGCUGCACAAGAGCCCUGACACUAUGGAAGUAUCUUCCAACAUAAUCAGAGUUGCCCUGUCUUUGGUGGAGACAGGUUGUGGCAGCACAAAGACAGGCCAAUGCCAGUGCAAAAUCAAAGAACAUGAAGUAAUACCCCACUUUUCACCAGGACAUAAAUCUGCAAGGAUUUUCAUUAGGAAAGCUGUCAUAAACACCAGAGCACUUAAUUUUCCUGGGGCCUCAACAUCCUCUCCUGCAGUACUAAUUCCUGCGAAUUUACUUACAUAGAAACACACUGUACACCAAAAAAGGGUUAAGCUUAACUUCUAUAAAUUAGCUAUGUAUACUCAAAUGAAAAUAAACAUACUAAUUCUACAAAGAGAAAUCAUCAAGACACUUGGUUAAUGAUGCCAAAGCCUGUUCUCUGUCUGCUGGUGCCCUUACCUGCAAUUCUUUAUGGCUGUAUUAUCAUCAUCAUCAUCUCUGGAGUUAGUAUUCCAAACAUACCAGCUGCCCACAACUGAAGGGCUUCUUUGCAUUACCAAUUAUAAUUGCACUGAAUGCACUACUGGUUCUGUGACAUAAAAAGGAAUUAAAAAAAAAAAACACCUCAUCAAGCUUAUUUCAACUUGAGAGAGUUGAACCCAGGUGAAAAACUAAGUCAGUAACCCACAGAACCCACUAAUUAAUUACCAUAUAGAUGUAUGAUCCAAUCUAAUGGAGAUCAAAAUUAAAAAAAAAAAAAGUAGUCCAUUAUUCAUCAUCGGUUUCAAUUACAAGUGGGAGAAUAAUACCACUUAACACAUUCCCUGUGGCCUGGCCCACACUCAAGAGAUGUUUUGGGAAGAAGCUUAAAAGCAAAAUCUGGCUUGAAAACUGGAGUAAGGCACCUCUUUUGAAAUCUUACCUCAAAAAUCAAAACAAAAAGCCCGACUACCAACAGGAGUCCCCAAAAUCCCAGUUCUCUCCUUUUUAAGAUGACUAUUUUAUAUACUAAGACAUUGAUAUCAAUGACUUUAUCCACCCAUUCCUUCAAUAAAGUGGACUAAAUCAGCACUAAUUUGUUAAUAAUUGUAUUACUUCAUGCACUCAUGCCAUACAAUGUCAAGCUAAAUUUCAAACAAAAUCCAUUUAAGAAAAUAGAAAAGAACAUUUCUUACCUGUUGCUGUUUCCUCAAAACUGUGGACUCCCACUGCUGAAGAUAAUCUGUCAAGUUAGUCUUCUUUCUUCUUUCUUUUUGUUUAACCUCCUACUCUUAAACCAUUUAAUAUUACCACAUGGGAAAGAAAAUGCAAGGAAAUACUUGUCUAAUGUGUCAAUGGCUACAUGCCACUUCCAUUAGUCAGCUUCUGUAUCAGCCUGGGUAGAUAGUUCAAGUAACAACAGGGGAAACAUUCUAUUUUCUAACAAGAAAAGACACACUAAGAAUAUGCCAGAAAAAAAAUUACAUUUUAAAAUAAAAAAGAGCAUAGGGUUCCAGCAGCACACAAAAUACCAGAAAAUACUAUAGUUUUAAGUAUAGCAUAUAUUAAUUAUUUUUCACAUUAAGUCAAUUUAGGUCAAAAAGCAUUAUGUGUUGAUUUCUCCAACAAAUUGUAACUAUAUCGAACAACAUGAAAGCCCACCUAAAAAAAAACCACAGUGCUUUUGCAAGACACUGGCACAAGAAAAUACAUUAGGCCUUCUUAUCACAUACUAAAGCUGUUGCACAUUUGGGUUGCAAUUGCAGUAUACUUUCUAGAAGAGUACUGCACAACUGAUUUACUUGUUAGUCAAAACAGGGAAUGAAUGGCAGCAUUUACUUGCAUCUUUUCAUUCACAUGGUACAGGUAAUGCUCUUCAGGACUGUUCAUGCUGUACUUUUGCUGGCUUGCACUUUUCCACUUCAUAAAAAAGGCACUGAAUUUUGAAUAUACUGAAAAGAAAUUAAUAGGAAAGUUCACAGUUCCUAGAGCACUUUAAGAGAUCAGUGUUACUUCAGCAAUACCAUUUUCACAGCUUAUUAUAUGUUAACAAGUUUCCAUUUAAAAAUGAGUCAUCCCAUCCCACUGGAAUAAGAAAAGAAAACCUGUCAUAUUCAGAUUGUAGAUUGCCCAAGUCUCAUUUACCUUUGAAGCACUGAAUUAAACUAUCUUAAGACCAAGAAGAAAUGAAAACUUAGUUAUUUUGUAGCUUCUGCCAAGUAAAUUGUCAGACCUAGUUCAAAGGACCUGUAAUCCAUUUUCUAGUUUUUUAUUUACAAUUUAGACAAAAAUCUGACUCAUUUUUAUAGGUGAAAUUGUAUGGUGGCAUUUUGAAAGUACUUCAACUUUGUGUUAUAACAGAAGUUAUGUUCUAAGUGUGGAAGAUCUCUAUUUCCCCAUAGUGAAACCAUUAAACCAGACACCAGACUUUACAGAACAGAAAAGCUGCAAUACAGGUUUGGAGGAACAGCUGUAAACGUUUAGGAUUUAAUAUACAUUCAUGAAACAUGAAGAUCUGAAUGGAGAACACUAAGCAGAACCAUUCAAGUGUGGGACUUCAGAGUUUGUUCAUGCAGUCAAUGACAUUAAAUAAUCAAUUGCAUGUCUUUAUUGCCUUUUCUCUCCUCAAAAGCAAAGAGUAAGCAAAUCCUUUGCUUUUAUAACACAGUAGGUCCAUGUGAGUUUACCUGGCAUGUUCUCAGUGCUCUUAUAUUAAUCCUUUAUUAAUUUGUGCCCACCUGAUAUGUCACACCACAAACAGUCAAGAUAAGAUAAGUGGGAGCUUGUCAUCAAGCUCCCAGAGCUAAAAUUAUAAACAUGGAUCUAAAAUUUCUGCCAAUGUGUGAAAAGUACAGCAAAUGUUAUGGAUUCACAAGUCAUUCACAUUCCUCCAAAGACACCAGCAAGGCAAAAAACCAGCUGUACAGGAAUAGGACUUAAAAGUACAACUCAUGCACCUGUAUGGAUCAGGUAGGAUGGCAAAAGUCAGACUAACCGCCAUAAAGAAAAAUCACAACUUCUACUCCAUCAGAAAUUAUUUGAGCCUUUAAUGAAUACUGUAAGAAAAGAAAUUCAGCUCACCAUGACUCUGCUCAUAUUAAAAAAAAAAAAAAAAA
Molecule: long non-coding RNA, 3842 nt
Organism: Taeniopygia guttata (zebra finch)
Lineage: Eukaryota; Metazoa; Chordata; Aves; Passeriformes; Estrildidae
Source: Ensembl